AUGUCCGUUUCUUGGCCGGCGCCGUCGACGUGCGCGGCCGCCGGGGCCCUGCUGGCCGCCGCAUGGCUGCUGUGCUUCAGGCUGCUCCCGGCCGCGGCCAGGCCGAGAAGGCGGGCGAUGAAGACAGAGGCGCAGCUCCCUCCCGGCAGCUUCGGGUGGCCGGUCGUCGGCGAGACGCUGGACUUCGUCUCCUGCGCCUACUCCCCGCGCCCCGAGGCGUUCGUGGACAAGCGCCGCCUCCGGUACGGCGGCGCGGUGUUCCGGUCGCACCUGUUCGGGUCGGCGACGGUGGUGACGGCGGACGCGGAGGUGAACCGGUUCGUGCUGCAGAGCGACGCGCGGUCGUUCGUGCCGUGGUACCCGCGGUCGCUGACGGAGCUCAUGGGCAAGUCCUCCAUCCUGCUCAUCAACGGCAGCCUGCAGCGCCGCGUCCACGGCCUCGUCGGCGCCUUCUUCAAGUCGCCGCAGCUCAAGGCGCAGGUCACCGCCGACAUGCAGCGCCGCCUCGCCCCCGCGCUCGCCUCCUGGCGCCACCAGGGCCCCGGCGCCCGCCUCCGCAUCCAGGACCACGCCAAGACGAUAGUGUUCCCGAUCCUGGUGCGGGGUCUGAUCGGGCUGGAGGCAGGCCCAGAGAUGCAGCAGCUCAAGCAGCAAUUCCAGGAAUUUAUUGUCGGACUCAUGUCCCUUCCCAUUAAGCUGCCAGGGACUAGGCUCUACAGAUCCCUCCAGGCCAAGAAGAGGAUGGCCAGGGUGAUACAGAGGAUCAUACAGGAGAAGAGGAGGAGGAGGGCCCUCGACGGCGGCGGCGGGCCGAGGGACGCCAUCGACGUGCUCAUGGGCGACGGCAGCGAGGAGCUCACCGACGAGCUCAUAUCCGACAACAUGAUCGACUUCAUGAUCCCCGCCGAGGACUCCGUGCCAGUGCUCAUCACGCUCGCCGUCAAGUUCCUCAGCGAGUGCCCCCUCGCCCUGCAGCAGCUCGAGGAGGAGAACAUGGAGCUCAAGAUGAGGAAAACCGACCUGGGUGAAACCUUGCAAUGGACUGACUACAUGUCCUUGUCAUUCACGCAGCAUGUGAUAACGGAGACGCUGCGGAUCGGGAACAUCAUCAGCGGGAUCAUGCGCAAGGCGGUCCGCGACGUCGAGGUGAAGGGGCAUCUCAUCCCCAAAGGAUGGCGCGUGUUCAUGUACUUCCGGUCGGUCCACCUCGACGACAUGCUCUACGAGGAUCCCUGCAAGUUCAAUCCAUGGAGGUGGAAGGAGAAGGACAUGAGCACUAGCAGCUUCACCCCUUUUGGCGGUGGGCAGAGGCUGUGCCCGGGCCUGGAUCUGGCCAGGCUGGAAGCUUCCAUCUUUCUCCACCACUUGGUCACCAGCUUCAGGUGGGUGGCCGAGGAGGACCACAUCGUCAACUUCCCCACCGUGCGCCUCAAGGGAGGCAUGCCCAUCAGGGUCACCGCCAAAGACUAG
This 1470-nucleotide ribosomal RNA is filed under the name Triticum aestivum (bread wheat). RNAcentral's name for it is "partial small subunit ribosomal RNA". The record is from RNAcentral. Lineage: Eukaryota; Viridiplantae; Streptophyta; Magnoliopsida; Poales; Poaceae.